UACGUAGGGGGCGAGCGUUGUCCGGAUUUAUUGGGCGUAAAGAGCUCGUAGGCGGUUUGGUAAGUUGGAUGUGAAAUCUCCAGGCUCAACUUGGAGGGGUCAUUCGAUACUGCCAUGACUAGAGUUCGGUAGGGGAGUGUGGAAUUCCUGGUGGAGCGGUGAAAUGCGCAGAUAUCAGGAGGAACACCCGUAGCGAAGGCGGCACUCUGGGCCGGAACUGACGCUGAGGAGCGAAAGCAUGGGGAGCGAACAGG
RNAcentral lists this ribosomal RNA (254 nucleotides) under uncultured bacterium. RNAcentral describes it as "partial 16S ribosomal RNA". It matches the Rfam family "Bacterial small subunit ribosomal RNA", at positions 524 to 776 of the family's 1533-position model. The record is from RNAcentral.